UCCCCGUCACAACGGCUUCCUGACGUGGCGGGCAGACCUUAAUGGAGCA
Molecule: regulatory RNA element, 49 nt
Rfam family: SAM/SAH riboswitch aptamer
Source: Rfam